This 466-nucleotide ribosomal RNA is filed under the name uncultured bacterium. RNAcentral's name for it is "partial 16S ribosomal RNA". It matches the Rfam family "Bacterial small subunit ribosomal RNA", at positions 339 to 795 of the family's 1533-position model. The record is from RNAcentral.
CUACGAGAUGCACCAGUGGGGAAUAUUGGACAAUGGGGGAAACCCUGACCCAGCAAUGCCGCGUGUGUGAAGAAGGCCUGCGGGUUGUAAAGCACUUUCGGUUGGGAGGACUGCUUCUAGCACUAAUAUUGUUGGAAGUUGACGUUACCUUCAGAAGAAGCACCGGCUAACUCCGUGCCAGCAGCCGCGGUGAAUACGGAGGGUGCAAGCGUUAAUCGGAAUUACUGGGCGUAAAGCGCGCGUAGGCGGCUAGAUCAGUCGGGUGUGAAAGCCCCGGGCUUAACCUGGGAACUGCAUCCGAUACUGUCUAGCUUGAGUACAGGAGAGGAGAGUGGAAUUCCACAUGUAGCGGUGAAAUGCGUAGAUAUGUGGAGGAACACCAAUGGCGAAGGCAGCUCUCUGGCCUGAUACUGACGCUGAGGUGCGAAAGCGUGGGGAGCAAACAGGAUUAGAUACCCUAGUAGUC